RNAcentral lists this unclassified non-coding RNA (382 nucleotides) under uncultured Armatimonadota bacterium. Its description in RNAcentral is "uncultured Armatimonadetes bacterium contains 16S-23S intergenic spacer region". The record is from RNAcentral. Lineage: Bacteria; Bacillati; Armatimonadota.
UCCGGCUUACACCGGCGGUCUCCUGUGAGUGCCCGACUUUACUCGCUGGUAACACAGAACGUGGGUUGCGCUCGUUGGCGGACUUAACCGUACACCUCACGGCACGAGCUGACGACAGCCAUGCAACAUCUGUCUUCACGUCCCCUUGUGGGGGAGGAGCGCCUUUCAACGCUUUGCGAUCGAUGUCAAACCUGGGUAAGGUUCUUCGGUUAGUAUCGAAUUAAACCACAUGCUCCACCGCUUGUGCGGGUCCCCGUCAAUUCAUUUGAGUUUCAACCUUGCGGCCGUAGUCCCCAGGCGGGAUACUUAACGCGUUAGCUACGGUCACGAGAGGGGUCGAUACCUCUCACGACUAGUAUCCAUCGUUUAGGGCGUGGACUAC